AAAACAUUAAAAACACAACCUUAACCAUUCUUGGCUUAUUCGCAUGAAUAAUUUCACAACUGUUAAAUAUCUUUUUAAGGUAUAAUCGGGCAGUACUUUCUGUGGUUGUAGCAAAAUUCAAAGCUGUCAGUAUCUCUGGCUGUACAUAAAAAGUGUUCGGUGCUUUAACUUUUUUAUUCUACUUGUCUUGUAAUCUUUUUCUGUCCCUGUAAAUGGAAAUUUUGCCGGAAAGGUCGGAUCGGACAUUAAUUCUUGCAGCAUGGAUGCAACAUAUUUUUGUACAUAAUUGCAGUCAAAAUACUACAACCUUCCCACUUCCGCUUUUGUAGUCUGUUGUCAUUUACUAUUUUGUUUUGACUUUUGCAUUAUUGUAGCGGUCGCCGAAUUAUGGAGAAAUAUGGCGAUAAAAUUUAGUUGUUUUUUAUUUUUGUAAUAUUUUAAAUAAUUGUAACAAAGGUUGCAUUUUUCGUUUGAUUCACUGCAUAUGAACACAUAAGAAUUUUGAAAUUUAACUUAUAUCGUCGUAUUUCCAUAUAAUUUGUUAACCGCUGCAAUAACAGAAAUACUGCAGUAAGAAACAGAGUUUUCCAAAAAAAUAGUUUUAAAAAAGUUUUAAAAGAGUUUUAAAAAGCAAAAAAAGUUUAAAAUGUUAGAUUUUUAAAAAAGUUAAAAAAAUUACGGUUAAAAAAGUUAGGGUUAGGAGUUAGAGAUUACUGGUUAGGAGUUAGGGGAUUAGUGGUUAGGGGUUAGUGCCGCGAAUUUAUUAUUAUCAUAAAUUCAAAAUGUGCUGCGAAUUUAUCAUAAUGAUAAUUUCGGACGUGUUUAAGAAUUUACUCAUAUAGUAAAUUCAAAGGUGGAGCUCAUGCUGAACUACAACACUGGCUUGUCAGUUAUUUUUGAUAGCAGCUCUUAUUUUUACUUUGUGCAUGCUUGAGUCAUGGAAAAGAACUUUUCUUUUGCUGGCCUGGGGAAUUUUGCAUGUGGAGAAAGCCGGGGAAUACAGAAAGUUGCACAAAUUGGGGGAGUGUAAUGCAGACAUUUGUACUCACCCCAGCAGUUGUCACCUCACGAGGCUUACCAUCAACGAGAGUGAACUUAUACUUGCCAGAGCAGGGCACUUUUACCUACCCAGGAAUAGCUGACAAACAUGACUAUCCAGUCUGUUAUUAGUUCAGUUUCAUUUUUCAAUUGGGUCUAUCCUGUCAAUAUGAGAUCAGUGGAUAGACUCUAUAAAAAGUGAAGCCAAUAGACAAAUUUGGCUAACGCUGUUUACAUCGUUGCCACCCAAUUCACAGCUUUGGAUAACUCACAUGCCUAGCUACUAUUGUUCUAGUUUACAGAAGCAUAGACUGAAUAGAACAAAAGUAACUAAACAUUAAACUUAUGUAUUAUCACUUUAUAUUUACUGAGAUCGAGGAAAACAGUGUGUUUUGUGGACCAGAGCCACUUAUAGAUAGUAUAUAAGUGUUAAAGUAUGAAUAAUUCACCGAUUAUUGGAGUGAACUUAGCGGCAGAUCAAGGCAGGGGCGCCGGAGCCACGGGGGCAACUGCCCCCGUUGCCGAAACAGUGCGGGGGCGGCACGGGGGCAACAGCUUGCCCUUUUUCACCAGAACUGCGCUUCGAAAUUUGUGCGUUAUUAACAUGAAUUGGGAUUUAUAACUAUUUUAAGCAAUGUUUGCUUAAUUUUAACCAGUUGUAGUAAAAUUAAUGCGUGAGGCCGCGGAAUUACUUUUGUAUAAUUGUGAUCAAAAUCAAACGAUUUUUGAAAAUAUGGAGUUCCUAUAAAGUCGGAAAUGGCCUUUACAGAGUUUUUACUACUACAAAAAGGGCAUUUCCUUUCUAGCCCCCCCAAAAAGGCAUUUUUUCAUUUUUAAAAUGUGGUGAGGCACAUGCCCCAUUGUCCCCGGUUCCGCGGCCCCUGAUUAAUGCUAAACCAGGCAAUAUACGUCUGUUUACUGAUUUUAUCAGCGCCCUUAACAUGGUGCAACGAAUAAAAUUGUUCAAAAUUAAUGUCGAAGUUUGCCGACCCACAAUAGCCACAAGUAAUCGAG
This 2052-nucleotide long non-coding RNA is filed under the name Paramuricea clavata. Lineage: Eukaryota; Metazoa; Cnidaria; Anthozoa; Malacalcyonacea; Plexauridae. The record is from RNAcentral.